RNAcentral lists this long non-coding RNA (4553 nucleotides) under Gossypium raimondii (Peruvian cotton). RNAcentral's name for it is "long non-coding RNA (GRAI_LNC008756)". The record is from RNAcentral. Lineage: Eukaryota; Viridiplantae; Streptophyta; Magnoliopsida; Malvales; Malvaceae.
UCGGGGGCCAUAUUAACCGAGCCGUGGGCCCUGCUGCGGCAGUGCUUAAGGUUUUCGAUGCUGUUCAUGGACUUGAAAAGUCCCUACUAUCAGAUCCCAGGAACGAUCUUCCUGGGUAUUUAUCGGUGUUGAAACGCCUUGAAGAGGCAUUAAAGUUUCUGGGUGAUAAUUGCGGAUUGGCAAUUCAAUGGUUAGAAGAUAUAAUUGAGUAUUUGGAGGAUAACAGAGUUGCUGAUGGACGGUACCUGUUGAAUAUGAAGACCUAUCUCAAGGGCUUAAGGGAGUUGCAAAAUGACGGGGAAAGAGUACAUCUUGAUGGUGGGCUUUUGGAUGCUGCAUUGGAUAAACUGGAAAAUGAGUUUAGAAGACUAUUGAUGGAGCAUAGUGUGCCACUUCCAAUGUCAUCGCCGCCACUUGGUGAACAGGCAUGCAUUGCACCAUCGCCCUUACCUGUGACUGUUAUUCAGAAGUUGCAAGCGAUUCUUGGUAGGCUGAUUGCUAAUAAUAGACUUGAGAAGUGCAUUGCAAUCUACGUUGAAGUUCGUAGUUCAAACGUCAGAGCUAGCUUGAAGGCACUUGAUUUGGAUUAUCUUGAGAUCUCAGUCUCAGAGUUCAAUGAUAUGCAGAGCAUAGAGGGGUAUAUAGGACAGUGGGGAAAACAUUUGGAGUUUGCAGUAAAGCAUUUGUUUGAGGCAGAGUUCAAGCUUUGCAAUGAUGUUUUCGAGAGGAUUGGCUUGGAUGUUUGGAUGGUUUGUUUUGCAAAAAUAGCUGCACAAGCUGGUAUUCUUGCAUUUCUUCAGUUCGGAAAGACUAUUACGGAGAGUAAGAAAGAACCUAUAAAGCUUCUCAAGCUAUUGGACAUAUUUGCAUCUUUGAACAAAUUGAGAUUGGAUUUCAAUAGGCUCUUUGGGGGAGCAGCAUGUAUUGAGAUCCAAAACCUGACAAGAGAUCUCAUCAAGAGGGUUAUUGACGGCGCAGCCGAAAUUUUCUGGGAGAUCUUUGUUCAGGUAGAAUUACAGAGGCAGAGCCCUCCUCCUCAGGAUGGGAGCAUUCCAAAAUUGGUGAGUACUAUAACUGAUUACUGCAAUAAACUUCUUGGUGAUGAUUAUAGGCCGAUCCUGACCCAGGUUCUUGUCAUUCACCAAAGUUGGAAGCAUAAAAAAUUCCAGGAGAUGAUCCUUGUAAAUGAGGUUUCGAAAAUAAUAAAGGCCGUCGAUUUGAAUUUGGAUACAUGGAUGAAGGCAUAUGGUGAUACUACCCUUUCUUGUCUUUUUGCCAUGAACUGCCACUGGCAUCUAUACAAAGACUUAAAGGGAACAAAAGUUGGAGAGCUCAUGGGAGAUUCUUGGUUGAAAGAACAUGUAGAGUACAAGGAGUAUUAUUCUGCUGUCUUCUUUAAAGGGAGUUGGGCUAAGCUCCCUGUUCAUUUAAGCCGUGAAGGGUUAAUUAUGUUCUCAGGCGGUCGUGCCAGUGCUCGUGAUCUUGUAAAGAAAAGGCUCAAGACUUUUAAUGAAGCUUUUGAUGAAAUGUAUAGAAAGCAGUCUGGUUGGGUUAUCCCAGAAAGAGAUUUGAGGGAGAAGACAUGCCAACUAAUAGUGCAGACAGUUCUACCUGUUUAUCGAAGCUAUAUGCAAACUUAUGGGCCAUUAGUAGAGCAAGAUGCAAGUUCCAGUAAGUAUGCAAAGUACACAGUGCAGGGGUUGGAACAAAUGCUCCUUUCUCUUUUUCUACCGAGGCGGGAAAGGUACGGCAGUUUCAAAGGUAGGCCAACAGGCAGCAAAAUUGAUAAUGGGGUAGAUCUUCGCCGGACUGCAUCAGCUGUUGCGUGAUUGUCCAAUCUAUUUAUGUCGCGGUGGUUAAAAUGUUCAUGUUUUAGAGGUUUAAUCUUAUAUCUUGUACAUAUCAGUGUUCUUAGGGCGGAGGUAGAACUAUUCUCCAUCAUUCAUCCUUUGCCCUUGGACAGCACAUGCUUUGGACAUUUGACAUUUCAUUACUCAAGGAGUUGCCAGAAUUUGAUGUGUGAAGCAGAUUUUGCUUUGUCAACUGUAAAGCAAAUGUAGGGUGGGAUUGGGGGACAUAACAAGCAAGAACAGUGUUGGGUUGGUAGAUAAGAGAAUAACAUCCAGGUAUAGCAUUUCAAGUUUAAUUUCAUAUUUAUGUUUAUUUAAUUAUAUAGUUGAUAGCUUGUUUGGGAUAAAAGCAUUGUAAUUUAGUGGAUUUCAUGUACAAAUAUUGUGACAUAAAAAGUGGAAACUGAAGGGGCUAGCUGUGAUUAAUUAAUUUAUGAAGAGAUCAACAUUCCCUAGAGAAUCAACUUUGAUGAGAUGCCUUAUUAUUUUGUGCUAUUAGGAUGGGGUGUACGUGUCGUUGAGAACUUACCUUCCUCAGUUCCUCUGCAUUGGGAAUAAAGUGUUGGGCUGUUUCUUGGAUUAUUUUUACUUAUUAGAGAAUAAAUAUAGAUGUUCCUCCUUCAAAUUUAUUUCAGCAUCUUCUUUAUCCUUUUCUUUCUCUUUCUUCAUCUACCAUAUUUUGGAGCUGUGCUUUUGUUUUCCUCAUAUCCUGCUGAUGUAUACAUACAUACCUACAUUAUUAUUUACAACGAAACUAUAUUAUUAUUAGGUGUUUUGUCGUUUUAAGAUAAAUAAUAUAUUGUAUUGUAUUAUUAUAUAAUCCUCUAUUUGUUGUUCAUGUCAAAUAUAAAUUGUCCAUGCAGUUGUUUGUUCACGUGUUUGUAGUGUAUCAAUGCCUAUUACAUAACUUAAAACUAGUGUAUCAAUGCUGAUGGAAUGAGACAACUUUAGAGUUGGGUGGCCAGUGCAAAAUGCAAGUUUCAUAUGCUAUAUGCCCUCACAAGACUACCUCCCUCGUUCAUCAAACAAUUAUUCUCUCUAUCAUCUGUGCGUCUCAUUUACACGUUGUCCUUACAUAAUAAUUUAUAAUCAGAAAAAAAGACAUAAAUACUCUUUAUAAAAUCUUCAAAAGCUUACGAGGUUUCUCUCUCUCUUUCUCCCUAUCAACAAUCUUUCUUCCUCAUCUUAUAAUUCUCGAUCAUUUAAAUGAACUGUCAUCAACUACCAUGAUCUUAAUCUAAUAUCAAUAAUGUUAAAAAAAAGAGUAAAGUACAAAAAAUUCACAAUUUGAUUCAGUGGUGAAAUUAGGGGUUACCAAGGGCCCCAACCAAGCUGCUUUAAUUUUUUUAAAAUUUUAAAUUAGUAAAAUUCUUUAAAAAUAUAAAAAUUAAUUUAAUCUUUUAAAAAUUAUAAAAUUAUAUUUUUUUAUCGUAAAAAUUAUAAUAUAAUUUCGAUAUUUUGCCUUUGAUUUGGUUAAAAGUUUAAGGGUAGUAAUAAUUUUGGAAUAUGAGUUUGAGGUUGGGCAAUGGUUUUAUUUAUUUCACCACACAAUUUCCAUCAUUAGCUCUGCUUGUUUUUCAGCUUGCAUUUAAAUAUUGAUAAACCAAGAGAGUGAUAAAUGAAUCAAUUUAUAUAUAGUGAGAGAGAGAUGAUGAAAUUGCAGUAAAAUGGAGUCGAUCUUUAGUAUGACAUGAAGACAAAUGUACUGUGUCCUGAAGCUAUAAAUGAACCAAACACGAUUCCAUAGGCAAACCAUUGGCGGCGAUUUCUACAAUGCAAAUAUAUAUUACUCCUUUUUUCAAAAAGGGGGACAAAUUUAUUAGAUUAUUUAUACUCCCUUCUUUUCACUUUAGGGUUUCUCUCUUGGAAAUUUGGAAUCUAAAACUCACCGAUUCAGAUUCCACUCCAGCUCAGCUCUCCGGUUCACCUCGCCUCUCUCAAUCAACUAUUUCCGGAGUGAGUUUUUCUUACUCGCUUUCUCCGCCAUUCACUUUGUUUUUGGGUUUAAUUUGGUGAGAGUUCGGUAAAGAAUAAAAGAAAAAAAAAGAGAGUUUUUUCUUAAUUAAAUUCGUAUAAAAUUGAUAAAAUCGCCCAGAAAAAGUAAGCUAGGGAAAAAAAACCCCAUUGCGGUAUUGCUUGUAGAUUUUCAAAUUUGUAGUCUCAGUUCACUCAUAGUUAUAGUUGCAAGCUUGGGUUUUUCCGGUUUAGGGUUUUGAUUAGGAUUUUUCUUUGGGGGCUAAGAUGGACCAAUCUGCAUCUGGUAACGACUGCAAGAACAAUUUUUGUAUUGAUAAAUUGAUAGCUGCUAGAAAGUCACUGAAGCUUAGCUUAGAGAAAUCGAGAACUCUAGGAUUGGCUCUUGAAAAGGCUGGACCUAGGUUAGAGGAGAUCAACCAAAGAUUGCCUUCCUUAGAAGCUGCUGUCCGCCCGAUUCGUGCCGACAAGGAUGCACUUGUUGCUGUCGGGGGCCAUAUUAACCGAGCCGUGGGCCCUGCUGCGGCAGUGCUUAAGGUUUUCGAUGCUGUUCAUGGACUUGAAAAGUCCCUGCUAUCAGAUCCCACCAAUGAUCUUCCUGGGUAUUUAUCAGUGUUGAAACGCCUCGAAGAGGCAUUAAGGUUUCUGGGUGAUAAUUGCGGACUGGCAAUUCAAUGGUUGGAAGAUAUAAUUGAGUAUUUGGAGGAUAACAGAGUUGUUGACGGAAUG